This 409-nucleotide ribosomal RNA is filed under the name Actinomycetes bacterium. Its description in RNAcentral is "Actinobacteria bacterium partial 16S ribosomal RNA". It matches the Rfam family "Bacterial small subunit ribosomal RNA", at positions 355 to 776 of the family's 1533-position model. The record is from RNAcentral. Lineage: Bacteria; Bacillati; Actinomycetota; Actinomycetes.
UGGGGAAUAUUGCACAAUGGGCGGAAGCCUGAUGCAGCGACGCCGCGUGGGGGAUGAAGGCCUUCGGGUUGUAAACUCCUUUCGACAGGGACGAAGCUUUUGUGACGGUACCUGUAUAAGAAGCACCGGCUAACUACGUGCCAGCAGCCGCGGUAAUACGUAGGGUGCGAGCGUUGUCCGGAAUUACUGGGCGUAAAGAGCUCGUAGGUGGUUUGUCGCGUCGUCUGUGAAAUUCCGGGGCUUAACUCCGGGCGUGCAGGCGAUACGGGCUGACUUGGGUGCUGUAGGGGAGACUGGAAUUCCUGGUGUAGCGGUGAAAUGCGCAGAUAUCAGGAGGAACACAGAUGGCGAAGGCAGGUCUCUGGGCAGUAACUGACGCUGAGGAGCGAAAGCAUGGGUAGCGAACAGG